UACGUAGGGUGCAAGCGUUAAUCGGAAUUACUGGGCGUAAAGCGUGCGCAGGCGGUUUUGUAAGUCAGAUGUGAAAUCCCCCGGGCUUAACCUGGGAACUGCGUUUGAAACUACAAGGCUAGAGUGUGACAGAGGGGGGUGGAAUUCCACGUGUAGCAGUGAAAUGCGUAGAGAUGUGGAGGAACACCGAUGGCGAAGGCAGCCCCCUGGGUUAACACUGACGCUCAGGCACGAAGGCGUGGGGAGCAAACAGG
RNAcentral lists this ribosomal RNA (254 nucleotides) under uncultured bacterium. RNAcentral's name for it is "partial 16S ribosomal RNA". It matches the Rfam family "Bacterial small subunit ribosomal RNA", at positions 524 to 776 of the family's 1533-position model. The record is from RNAcentral.